AAGCACCACUCUGUGGCAUAUAAAAAAAACCAUCUGACACAACUUGAGCUUGUUCUAGCAAAAAUGUCUAACCUAUUCCAGUGUUCUCUUCCCUACAAAACAAGCUACCAUAUAGGCUCAAACAAU
RNAcentral lists this small nucleolar RNA (126 nucleotides) under Peromyscus maniculatus bairdii (prairie deer mouse). RNAcentral describes it as "Small nucleolar RNA SNORA28 (ENSPEMG00000025155.1)". It matches the Rfam family "Small nucleolar RNA SNORA28". From Rfam's summary of the family: ACA28 is a member of the H/ACA class of snoRNA that guide the sites of modification of uridines to pseudouridines. Lineage: Eukaryota; Metazoa; Chordata; Mammalia; Rodentia; Cricetidae. The record is from Rfam by way of RNAcentral.